Molecule: ribosomal RNA, 345 nt
Filed under: Triticum aestivum (bread wheat)
Lineage: Eukaryota; Viridiplantae; Streptophyta; Magnoliopsida; Poales; Poaceae
Description: partial small subunit ribosomal RNA
Source: RNAcentral
AUGGCAGCUAGUCAAGCGUGCUUCAACCGGCUUGAAAAAAAGCUUCAACCGGCAUCGAAAAAAGCUUUAACUAUGAAAAUAAGCUACAACCGGCGCAGAAGAAAGGCUUCAAACAUUGAAAAAAAGCUUCAACCGGCGCCGAGAAAAGCUUCAACCGUUGUGAAAAAAAGUUUCGAUCGGAAUGGGAAAAAGCUUCAUCCGGUGUGGAAAAAAGCUUCAACUGGUGUGAAAAAAAGCUUCCACGGUGAAACUUCGAAAACGGGCGCCGACGGAAAUCUACGGGAGGACGGCGAAAGCUGCAACGACAGCUACAAGCGUCUAUGGAAAAAGCUUCAACUGACCUGA